This 2549-nucleotide unclassified non-coding RNA is filed under the name Hevea brasiliensis (rubber tree). The record is from RNAcentral. Lineage: Eukaryota; Viridiplantae; Streptophyta; Magnoliopsida; Malpighiales; Euphorbiaceae.
AUAGGAAAGGAACAAGCAAACUAAUCUUUCAUCGUAAUUAAUUGUAUGCAAAUUGUGUGUAUAUCUGUACAUCAACCAAUUUGUGAAGUGUGUGCAUGGUGGGAACUCUCCAAAUAAUAUUUUUCCAUCAUAUAGACAGAGACAAAAGAGAAAAAAAAAAUGCAUAUGGAAGAAAACAGAAAACCCCUUCUCUCAGUAUUAGAGACCUUUCCCAAGCCUUGUAUCGAAAGGGGGCGAGCAACUAUACAACCUCAGGCCAACACAAAGAAUAUAGAAAUUGUCUUGGCAGGGCAUUGUAAAGCACAACCAACAUUAACCAAAAUAACCUACAACCCCGCUGGGCAAGCUCUUGACAGGCAAGCAUGAGAAUUGCAGUGCAAGAGAAGAAUCUUUGAGCUCCAUUUGCUCCCAGUUAAAAUAUAUUCACCCGGAAAAACCAAGGGAGUACAAAAGCGAUUACUAGGCAUGCCAUCAGAAAGUUACAAAAGGGCUGUCCCCGCCAACAUCCUCUGCCUCUGUCUGAUGAACUAGCACUGCUACCAAUAAAUCUCCUUUGAUUCCACUCUUCCAUAAACCUGUUGUCCCCAACACCUGUAAUAUUCUUUGCUAUCUCCCCGCAAAUUUCACACAUUCUGUUUCCUUUCAGCUUAAACCAGGCCUCGGCACAAUAAGCAUGUGCAAUGCCGAGCUCAUCUUUGCACCCACAACCAAGCUGAAUUAGACCCAUAGAAGAGGUGGUUUCACUAGUUUCUUGCAACCCCUCAGAACUCAAGUGACAAAUCCGACAAACCCUUUCUCCAUCCCAGUCCUUAAGACUGUCUCCUCCUCCACCAGCACAUUUCAUAUCAAUCACACAUGAUUGCUUCUCCCCUUUGGACACCUCUCCCUUUAACUCAUCCACCACUACCUUACUCGGUCCCAACCCACAGCCCUUGAUUUCCAACAGCUCGUUUCCUCCUCUAAUAGAUCUAUGCUCUUCUGAAUUUACAAUUAUCACUGUCUCAAGCACAACCUCAUUAACUGAAAUACUGGAAUCCCCAUGACUUUCUUGCUCUACUUUAUCCAAUGCCUCACUAUUUCCUCCUCUAACACAUGCUUCCUGACCUCCUAUCUGAAUUUCUCUAUCAUUUAACCCCAGUUCAUCAAUUUUUAUAGCUAAAUCCUUGUUUUCUCCACUAAAACUCACGAUCUCACCUGAAUUUACCACAAUCAUUCUCUCAAGAACGACCUCAUCAACUAAAUUAAUUGAAUUCCCGCUAGUUCCUUCAUCCAAUGGCUCACCAAUUCCUUUUCCAUCACUUGCGUCCUUAUCCCUAGCACUCACUGUCUCUGCUGAAUUUGGAACAAUUGGAUUCUCCAACACAACCUUAUUAUCCGAAUUGCUUGAAUCUCCACUUGAGGUCCCAAUUGUUUCUUGAUUAAAUUGACCCAAGGUUCCAACGAUUGCUUUAUGUCCAUUCGUUUCUUGAUCCAUUAAUUUUUCUUUGCCAAUAUAAUCUCUGCAAAAAACUCGAAGAGAAUUCCUAUACUAUAAGCAUUUAUGCAAACAAGUAGCCAGCUAUCUAUCUAAACCCACCAUCAGGCAGGCCAUGAACAAAACCAAUCCUAUAAACCCAAAAAUAUCCAAACCAACCACUGUACUUCAUGUUUGUAAACCAAAAGUAUUCAAAACAAAUAAACAAACUCAAAGAAAAACGAGGCUGAUUACGCUAAUUAAGCGAAAAGGGAGAUAGCUUUGAUGAAAAAAAUGAAAACCCAGAUGAUUACCGACUCCUUCAGGAUAACUUCAACUCCACGUAUAAGCCCCCACCAGUUCUCUCAACAAAAGAGUUUACUUUCAAUAUUAAACAUAUAACAAAAGAGCAAAAAGAAAGAGAUCUAUUCGUCUAGAGGAGUUUUCUGCAAGCUAACCACACCAAAUACUCUGUCUAUACGCAUACAGUAUAUAUUUAUGGCUACAGGUCAUGUGAAAGAGACAGCGCUUUGGUGGAGAAAAAUAACUGGAAAUGGUAAGGAAGAGAUGGAGUGGGAAGUGGAAAUGCUGUUAAUUAUAAAUAGUAUAUAUACUGUAAAUAGUUAUUCCCUGUAGUCAAGGUUUCUGAUUUGUUAUCUUUGAUUACUGUUUUUGUCACCAAUUAUCAAGUACACUAAUCUUCCAUCCAAAUUUUAUUGCGUGCGAAUGUGCAAGAGUAAACGCUGAUCAUUAAUAUAAAAAGAACAUGGGACACAAUGAUUGUAUCUAUACCCAAUCAACCUUUUUUUCACAGAAAAAGAGAAGUUUUUGUGAAUGGAUAACGAAGGACAGAACUAGGCAGUGUAGGGGUGGAGGUGGUGCCAACUCUGGUGCCGUGUCGUUUCGGGUUUGUCUUGCAGUGAGUUUUGACUCUGUAUAAAAUAGUCCUAGGUUUCCUACUUACCUCUGUACACAAAGUUGAAAUUUCUUUAUGGGCACCUUGUGCUUCUUCUUUACACAAAAAAUGCACACACUAAAAUGGGGGUUUGAUAGGAACUUGGCACUGCCCGAUUAAACUUUGUGUUCUUUGUCAAAA